UCCAGCCCCGGGAGUCAAAACGCCAUCUGUUGAUGGGGCCCCGCCAAAGCUGACAUAGACAGGUCCAGCCUCCAGGUGCCCCCACACCGUUUUCUUGCAUUAUGAAGCUGAGCGGCUUCUUUCUACUCUCUGUGAACAUCCUCCUUUGCCUCUGAAUGACCCAGCCUGGAGUCUUGAGGAGUGCAGCUGCACGGAAACCGGGAUAUUGCCCAGAGUUUGAUCUUGACUGCCCUUUCACUCUCUUACCUAUGCGCUGGCGUGAUAAGAGUUGCAGGGGGUCAAGAAGUGUUGCUACUACAACUGUCGGCAUCAGUGUAUGGAGCCCUGGUGGACUUUGGAUUGAGGCAAAACGCAGGCUGACAGUGAUGAAGCUGAUGUUCGUAACACUGCAGAAAAAGUGCUGAUAGAUGACAUGGUGAAAAAGUGUGAUGGGCUUAUUGAAGGACUGAAGCAGCCUGUAUUCAUACCAAAACAAGAAAUCAUGUCCAAAGAACCAGAAGAGUAGACAGUCCUUAGAGACAGCAGCUGUGCCGGCUGCAGAAAUGGAGAGAGCUGUGAGCUAGAAUAGAAGAAGAGAAAGGCCAAAAACCACGGAGAAACAGAGCCAGACAACACAGAGGUGAAAUUCAGAAAGCGAGUCCAGCACUUGGCUGAAGUUACAGGCCCUUCCUGCCCUGCCCUUUCCCACCCAAGGCCAUGCCUAGUUCAUGUUACUAAGUCUAAGAAACAGCUCCAGAAGUGGCAUCUCUGCUAACCACUA
RNAcentral lists this long non-coding RNA (760 nucleotides) under Homo sapiens (human). RNAcentral describes it as "HSALNT0401256". The record is from RNAcentral. Lineage: Eukaryota; Metazoa; Chordata; Mammalia; Primates; Hominidae.